RNAcentral lists this transfer RNA (63 nucleotides) under Rattus norvegicus (Norway rat). It matches the Rfam family "tRNA", at positions 1 to 62 of the family's 71-position model. Rfam says of the family: Transfer RNA (tRNA) molecules are approximately 80 nucleotides in length. Lineage: Eukaryota; Metazoa; Chordata; Mammalia; Rodentia; Muridae. The record is from Rfam by way of RNAcentral.
GGGGAUUUGGCUCAGUGGUAGAGUGCUUGCCUAGCAAGCACAAGGCCCUGGGUUCAGUCCCCA